GACGAACGCUGGUGGCGUGCUUAACACAUGCAAGUCGAACGAGACGAUUGAAAGCUUGCUUUCAAAAGUCGAGUGGCAAACGGGUGAGUAACGCGUAGACAACCUGCCUUUGAGAUGGGGACAACAGUUUGAAAGGACUGCUAAUACCGAAUGUUGUAUAUUUUCCACAUGGAAGAUAUAUUAAAGAUGGCCUCUAUUUAUAAGCUAUCGCUCAAAGAUGGGUCUGCGUCUGAUUAGCUGGUUGGUGGGGUAACGGCCUACCAAGGCGACGAUCAGUAGCCGUUCUGAGAGGAUGAACGGCCACAUUGGGACUGAGACACGGCCCAGACUCCUACGGGAGGCAGCAGUGGGGAAUCUUCCACAAUGGACGAAAGUCUGAUGGAGCAACGCCGCGUGAGUGAAGAAGGGUUUUGGCUCGUAAAGCUCUGUUGUCGGGGACGAAUGUGCAGUAUUUGAAUAAAGUAGUGUAAUGACGGUACCUGACGAGGAAGCCACGGCUAACUACGUGCCAGCAGCCGCCGUAA
Molecule: ribosomal RNA, 524 nt
Filed under: uncultured bacterium
Lineage: Bacteria
Description: partial 16S ribosomal RNA
Rfam family: Bacterial small subunit ribosomal RNA
Source: RNAcentral